Molecule: ribosomal RNA, 848 nt
Filed under: uncultured bacterium
Lineage: Bacteria
Description: bacterial SSU rRNA
Rfam family: Bacterial small subunit ribosomal RNA
Source: RNAcentral
AGCGGCGGACGGGUGAGUAAUGCCUAGGAAUCUGCCUAGUGGUGGGGGAUCAACGUUCGGAAACGGACGCUAAUACCGCAUACGUCCUACGGGAGAAAGCGGGGGAUCUUCGGACCUCGCGCCAUUAGAUGAGCCUAGGUCGGAUUAGCUAGUUGGUGAGGUAAUGGCUCACCAAGGCGACGAUCCGUAACUGGUCUGAGAGGAUGAUCAGUCACACUGGAACUGAGACACGGUCCAGACAUCCUACGGGAGGCAGCAGUGGGGAAUAUUGGACAAUGGGCGAAAGCCUGAUCCAGCCAUGCCGCGUGUGUGAAGAAGGUCUUCGGAUUGUAAAGCACUUUAAGCUGGGAGGAAGGGCAGUAAGUUAAUACCUUGCUGUUUUGACGUUACCAGCAGAAUAAGCACCGGCUAACUUCGUGCCAGCAGCCGCGGUAAUACGAAGGGUGCAAGCGUUAAUCGGAAUUACUGGGCGUAAAGCGCGCGUAGGUGGUUCAGCAAGUUGGAUGUGAAAGCCCCGGGCUCAACCUGGGAACUGCAUCCAAAACUACUGGGCUAGAGUAUGGUAGAGGGUGGUGGAAUUUCCUGUGUAGCGGUGAAAUGCGUAGAUAUAGGAAGGAACACCAGUGGCGAAGGCGACCACCUGGACUGAUACUGACACUGAGGUGCGAAAGCGUGGGGAGCAAACAGGAUUAGAUACCCUGGUAGUCCACGCCGUAAACGAUGUCAACUAGCCGUUGGGAGUCUUGAACUCUUAGUGGCGCAGCUAACGCAUUAAGUUGACCGCCUGGGGAGUACGGCCGCAAGGUUAAAAACUCAAAUGAAUUGACGGGGGCCCGCACAAGCGGUGG